GUCACAGGGCGCGGUGGCGCAUGCCUGUAGUCCCAGCUACUCAGGAGGCUGAGGUGGGAGGAUCGCUUGAGCCCAGGAGUUCUGGGCUGUAUGCGCUAUGCCGAUCGGGUGUCCACACUAAGUUCGGCAUCAGUAUGGUGACCUCCUGGGAGCAGGGGACCACCAGGUUGCCUCAGGAGGGGUGAACCAGCCCAGGUCAGAAAUGGAGCAGGUCAAAACUCCUGUGCUGAUCAGUAGUGGGAUCGUGCCUGUGAAUAGCUACUGCACUCCAGCCUGAGCAACAUAGCAAGACCCAGCCUCU
Molecule: unclassified non-coding RNA, 301 nt
Organism: Cebus imitator (Panamanian white-faced capuchin)
Lineage: Eukaryota; Metazoa; Chordata; Mammalia; Primates; Cebidae
Rfam family: Metazoan signal recognition particle RNA
About the family: The signal recognition particle (SRP) is a universally conserved ribonucleoprotein. It is involved in the co-translational targeting of proteins to membranes.
Source: Ensembl